This 251-nucleotide ribosomal RNA is filed under the name uncultured bacterium. Its description in RNAcentral is "partial 16S ribosomal RNA". It matches the Rfam family "Bacterial small subunit ribosomal RNA", at positions 525 to 775 of the family's 1533-position model. The record is from RNAcentral.
ACGGAGGAUGCGAGCGUUAUCCGGAUUUAUUGGGUUUAAAGGGAGCGCAGACGGGAGAUUAAGUCAGUUGUGAAAGUUUGCGGCUCAACCGUAAAAUUGCAGUUGAUACUGGUUUCCUUGAGUGCAGUUGAGGCAGGCGGAAUUCGUGGUGUAGCGGUGAAAUGCUUAGAUAUCACGAAGAACCCCGAUUGCGAAGGCAGCUUGCUAAACUGUUACUGACGUUCAUGCUCGAAAGUGUGGGUAUCAAACAG